GGGGGUUGUGCGGGGGGGUGGGAUGCGGGGGAAAGAGGAAUGAGUCAGCACCACGGCCGGAAUGGGGCUUAAGCUGACCACCUGACGGGGGUGAGUGACCGGUCGAGGGUUGCAUCACAUGAUGCAGAGAGACUGUGAAAGACUCAGUGUGUGAUGGAGUACUCGGGUUAGAGAAACGGAGUGAAGGAGAAAGAAAUAGAGAGAGAGAGAGAGAGAGAGAGAGAGGGAGAGACAAGCAGACAGGAGCACCGUGUGUCGGAAUAAAGGCAGUACUGUGUCGAGGACCCUUCAGAGUACACAGGAUUGAAGAAGAAGUCAGAGGCACGUCUCUCUCUGUCACCCUGCAUUGCCCCACUCCCAACGUGUCAACAUGUUCCUCCUCUGAACCUUGGGUUUUCUGAGAAAGUUGGCAGAGAGCAUUUGGAGGUGAUCGGAGAGAGAGGGAGUGGGACCAAAGGGGACGGGGUCCUGUCACACAUCCUGUCUGGCCAUGAAUCAGGAGCGACUUUGUUCGAUGAGGCACGUGAAGAGUUUCCCCGCUAUGAUCUACUCCUUCCCUUUUGCUAGGACCCUGAGGAGCUCUCCGCCCCUGGGAGUGCUGAAUACCGGAGGCUGCUUCACCGGCUACAGCAGUGGAGACUCGCAAAAGGGGGCGUCACUAU
This is a long non-coding RNA of Carcharodon carcharias (great white shark), 662 nucleotides long. RefSeq lists it as uncharacterized. The record is from RefSeq and is a predicted model, not a curated record. The transcript has 3 exons. NCBI's taxonomy places the organism in Eukaryota, Metazoa, Chordata, Chondrichthyes, Lamniformes, Lamnidae.